GACGAACGCUGGCGGCGUGCUUAACACAUGCAAGUCGAGCGGUAAGGCCCUUUCGGGGGUACACGAGCGGCGAACGGGUGAGUAACACGUGGGUGACCUGCCCUCAGCGUCUGGGAUAAAGCCCGGGAAACUGGGUCUAAUACCGGAUAUGACUUCAUGACGCAUGUUGUGGAGUGGAAAGCCUUGUGCGGCUGAGGAUGGGCCCGCGGCCUAUCAGCUUGUUGGG
This 226-nucleotide ribosomal RNA is filed under the name uncultured bacterium. RNAcentral's name for it is "partial 16S ribosomal RNA". It matches the Rfam family "Bacterial small subunit ribosomal RNA", at positions 28 to 253 of the family's 1533-position model. The record is from RNAcentral.